This 204-nucleotide long non-coding RNA is filed under the name Elaeis guineensis (African oil palm). RNAcentral's name for it is "long non-coding RNA (EGUI_LNC057974)". Lineage: Eukaryota; Viridiplantae; Streptophyta; Magnoliopsida; Arecales; Arecaceae. The record is from RNAcentral.
GUCUUUAGGCUUGAUCAAUUCAUAAACAUAGAGAUUUUGUGUUUUCCUUUUAGUUAUGGCUAGACGUCCGUUUCUCUAUUCACUAUUUGAUAGUGACUAAUUUAUAGAACCCAACUUCGAUAGAUGGUAUCGAAAGUUGCAAAUAGUUCUAUAGCAUAAAUAGAUCCUAUAUAUGAUUACGGAUCUAGCACCUAAUAUUCUCAC